UACGUAGGGUGCGAGCGUUGUCCGGAGUUACUGGGCGUAAAGCGCAUGCAGGCGGCUCAUUACGCAUGGCGUGAAAGCCCCCGGCUCAACCGGGGAGGGUCGUCGUGAACGGGUGAGCUUGAGGGUAUCAGGGGCUGGUGGAAUUCCCGGUGUAGUGGUGAAAUGCGUAGAGAUCGGGAGGAACACCUGUGGCGAAGGCGGCCAGCUGGGAUACACCUGACGCUGAGAUGCGAAGGCGUGGGGAGCGAACGGG
Molecule: ribosomal RNA, 253 nt
Filed under: uncultured bacterium
Lineage: Bacteria
Description: partial 16S ribosomal RNA
Rfam family: Bacterial small subunit ribosomal RNA
Source: RNAcentral